UGAUAAUUAGUUUAAUCCAAAACAAAUGAUUUCGACUCAUUAAAUUAUGACUUACAUCAUAAUUAUCAA
Molecule: transfer RNA, 69 nt
Filed under: Erignathus barbatus (bearded seal)
Lineage: Eukaryota; Metazoa; Chordata; Mammalia; Carnivora; Phocidae
Description: transfer RNA-Arg
Rfam family: tRNA
About the family: Transfer RNA (tRNA) molecules are approximately 80 nucleotides in length. Their secondary structure includes four short double-helical elements and three loops (D, anti-codon, and T loops).
Source: RNAcentral